AGAGUUUGAUCCUGGCUCAGGAUGAACGCUGGCGGUAUGCCUAACACAUGCAAGUCGAACGGGAAUCUUUCGGGAUUCUAGAGGCGGACGGGUGAGUAACGCGUGAGAACCUGCCUCAAGGAUGGGGACAACAGCGGGAAACUGCUGCUAAUACCCAAUAAGCCGCAAGGUCAAAGAUUUAUCACCUAGAGAGGGGCUCGCGUCCGAUUAGCUAGUUGGUGGGGUAAGAGCCUACCAAGGCAGCGAUCGGUAGCUGGUCUGAGAGGAUGAGCAGCCACACUGGGACUGAGACACGGCCCAGACUCCUAUGGGAGGCAGCAGUGGGGAAUUUUCCGCAAUGGGCGAAAGCCUGACGGAGCAAUACCGCGUGAGGGAGGAAGGCUCUUGGGUUGUAAACCUCUUUUCUGGGGGAAGAAGCAAGUGACGGUACCCCAGGAAUCAGCAUCGGCUAACUCCGUGCCAGCAGCCGGUAAUACGGAGGAUGCAAGCGUUAUCCGGAAUUAUUGGGCGUAAAGCGUCCGCAGGUGGUCCAUCAAGUCUGCGGUCAAAGACCGGAGCUCAACUCCGGGCAGGCAGUGGAAACUGGUGAACUAGAGUACGGUAGGGGUAGAGGGAAUUCCCAGUGUGGCGGUGAAAUGCGUAGAGAUUGGGAAGAACACCAGUGGCGAAGGCGCUCUACUGGGCCGUAACUGACACUCAGGGACGAAAGCUAGGGGAGCGAAAGGGAUUAGAUACCCCUGUAGUCCUAGCUGUAAACGAUGGAUACUAGGCGUUGCUUGUAUCGACCCGAGCAGUGCCGUAGCUAACGCGUUAAGUAUCCCGCCUGGGGAGUACGCACGCAAGUGUGAAACUCAAAGGAAUUGACGGGGGCCCGCACAAGCAGUGGAGUAUGUGGUUUAAUUCGAUGCAACGCGAAGAACCUUACCAGGGCUUGACAUGUCCGGAACCCCGAGGAAACUCGGGGGUGCCUUCGGGAGCCGGAACACAGGUGGUGCAUGGCUGUCGUCAGCUCGUGUCGUGAGAUGUUGGGUUAAGUCCCGCAACGAGCGCAACCCUCGUCCUUAGUUGCCAGCAUUUAGGAUGGGCACUCUAGGGAGACUGCCGGUGACAAACCGGAGGAAGGUGGGGAUGACGUCAAGUCAGCAUGCCCCUUACGUCCUGGGCGACACACGUACUACAAUGGUCGGGACAAAGGGCAGCAAACUCGCGAGAGUAAGCGAAUCUCAGCAAACCCGGCCUCAGUUCAGAUUGCAGGCUGCAACUCGCCUGCAUGAAGGAGGAAUCGCUAGUAAUCGCAGGUCAGCAUACUGCGGUGAAUUCGUUCCCGGGCCUUGUACACACCGCCCGUCACACCAUGGAAGCUGGCCACGCCCGAAGUCGUUACCCUGACCGUUCGCGGAGGGGGACGCCGAAGGCA
Molecule: ribosomal RNA, 1417 nt
Filed under: metagenome
Description: bacterial SSU rRNA
Rfam family: Bacterial small subunit ribosomal RNA
Source: RNAcentral